This is a long non-coding RNA of Carassius carassius (crucian carp), 674 nucleotides long. RefSeq lists it as uncharacterized. NCBI's taxonomy places the organism in Eukaryota, Metazoa, Chordata, Actinopteri, Cypriniformes, Cyprinidae. The record is from RefSeq and is a predicted model, not a curated record. The transcript is spliced from 5 exons.
UUAGUUGCAUAUUAUGCAAUGUAAACAACUGAAUAGAGUUGUAUAGUAUGAUAUAAUCACUUACAGAGGAUCCAGGUUCUCCUUUACGUCCUGGAAGAACCUCCAUACCUCCCAUAACAUAGCCCGGUUCACCCUACAUGAAUAAAAAUAAAUACAAUUAAAAUGAAAACCACUAUACAACAUAUCAAAUGUUUGGCAAUUACUAAACGUACUCUCUCUCCUCUCUGUCCUUUAGGUCCAGUAUUACCAGGAGGCCCCUGAGAUUGUGAAGAAGAGAAAUAGGAAGAGAUGUAAAGAAAAGGAGAACCAGGAGGUCCAGUUCUACCCGGUCUUCCUGGUAAACCCGGAAUUCCAUCCGUUCCAGAAAGACCCUAAUGAAUGCAAACAAACCGGGAAUGAAGAUUCAUAUAAGACAUGGUAUGACAGUUGUAGUGAGGAUGUAGAGGAAGUGUUUACCUUGCAGCUAAGUGGACAGGGCCCUUCUGGUUUACUGAGAGCUUCUGGGUCAUCUGUAGGCUUCGCUACAGAUGCUGUGGAUAAACUCUCUCUCGAUGCCUGGAAGAUCGUCGAAAUCAUUGGCCAAGAAGAUGUUUGUUUGAUAUUACUCACCCAGAGCAUGUGCUAUCCUGGACGGUGGCUCUACGUCAUCCUGUGCUCUCCCGUCUGUCAGUAAC